RNAcentral lists this ribosomal RNA (464 nucleotides) under uncultured bacterium. RNAcentral describes it as "partial 16S ribosomal RNA". It matches the Rfam family "Bacterial small subunit ribosomal RNA", at positions 339 to 795 of the family's 1533-position model. The record is from RNAcentral.
CUACGGGUUGCUCCAGUUAGGAAUAUUCGUCAAUGGGGGAAACCCUGAACGAACAAUGCCGCGUGAGUGAUGACGGUCUUUAAGAUUGUAAAGCUCUGUUGUAUGGGAAGAACAUUAUAUAUAGGAAAUGAUAUAUAACUGACGGUACCAUACCAGAAAGCUCCGGCUAACUACGUGCCAGCAGCCGCGGUAAUACGUAGGGAGCGAGCGUUAUCCGGAUUUAUUGGGCGUAAAGCGUGUGUAGGUGGUUUAUUAAGUAUAAAAUUAAAGCCCGAGGCUUAACCUCGGUUCGUUUUAUAAACUGGUAGACUUGAGUAUGGUAGAGGCAAAUGGAAUUUCUAGUGUAGCGGUAGAAUGCGUAGAUAUUAGAAGGAACACCGGUGGCGAAGGCGAUUUGCUGGGCCAUUACUGACACUGAGACACGAAAGCGUGGGGAGCAAAUAGGAUUAGAUACCCUAGUAGUC